GGCUAGAGUACAGAAGUUAGUCACCGUGGUUCCUAGCCUUUUCGUUUUUUAAUUCAAGUUCCGGUUUAUGUAUAUACCACAAGUGGCGAAAACUCUGCUCUUGUGAGCUUUCCUUCUUUAAAAAAGCGUCCAACAGGCGCUUUUUUGUUUGGACCUAGAGUCCGUGGAUCUAGACAUCCGCCAUCUUGAUUCGGCUCCCGCCCGCGUGGCGCGUUUUCUGCGGCGACAGCUCGUUCCGGCCCGCCAGUUUCUGGCAGACAAACGGGGUAGAGAAGACAGCCUCCGGCCGACCUGUGUGCGGUUUACGUACGACCGGGCAGCGUCCUGGAAUCGCCGCCCUCCUCCCCCGCAACUAUAGAUCGGCCGUUGGUUUUUUCGAGCACACCCUAACGACGCUGGUGCCCAACAUCUUGGUACCCCCCGGAGAUAGGCCUAGUCCCGCCUCUGCGACGGCAGAUCAUCGCAUGAAUCUGCGAACCUCCGGUGAACCAGCAGUCGUCGUUUGCUAAAACCCUGCGCAGGUAUGUCACUCAUGGCCAUGAACACACAACACACAACACAUACACUGACACACAACUAUGUUUAACGAAAAAAGAAACAUAAUAUAAUUAAAAUGAA
This is a long non-coding RNA of Armigeres subalbatus, 618 nucleotides long. RefSeq lists it as uncharacterized. The transcript has 3 exons. Lineage: Eukaryota; Metazoa; Arthropoda; Insecta; Diptera; Culicidae. The record is from RefSeq and is a predicted model, not a curated record.